CCCUUAGAUGUUCUGGGCCGCACGCGCGCUACACUGACGAAUGCAACGAGCUUAUAAUAACCUUGGCCGAAAGGUCUGGGUAAUCUCCAAAUUUCGUCGUGAUGGGGAUAGAUUAUUGCAAUUAUUAAUCUUCAACGAGGAAUGCCUAGUAAGCGCAAGUCAUCAGCUUGCGUUGAUUACGUCCCUGCCCUUUGUACACACCGCCCGUCGCUCCUACCGAUUGAGUGGUCCGGUGAAGCGUUCGGACCGUGGCCUUUGGACGGUUCGCCGUCUGUUGGCUGCGGGAAGUUCGUUAAACCUUAUCAUUUAGAGGAAGGAGAAGUCGUAACA
This 330-nucleotide ribosomal RNA is filed under the name uncultured eukaryote. RNAcentral's name for it is "partial 18S ribosomal RNA". It matches the Rfam family "Eukaryotic small subunit ribosomal RNA", at positions 1470 to 1796 of the family's 1831-position model. The record is from RNAcentral.